UUAUAAUACGAUAAUAAUUUUAAGUGAUAUGUUACAAAAAAAAGUGAUAACGACAAUAAUCUUAGACUAAUAUAUACCAUUUAGGCAAUUUUAAACACAUAAAAGAAUUUAUUUUUGCUUUGCAUAAUAUUUCUAAAGCAAAAGUACAUACUAUCAUUUUCAAUUUAGGACCAUUUAUCUUCUUUUUUAAUGGAAAUUUGGGCCUCACCACAUAACCAUUUCUCUAUAUAUACAUCCACCCUACUUAAACCCUAACACACAUAUGCACUUAAAUUCUCAUCAUUUUCCCAUAAAUAAAAAAACACCAUGUCCUUCACCACAAACC
This 325-nucleotide long non-coding RNA is filed under the name Brassica napus (rape). RNAcentral's name for it is "long non-coding RNA (BNAP_LNC001392)". The record is from RNAcentral. Lineage: Eukaryota; Viridiplantae; Streptophyta; Magnoliopsida; Brassicales; Brassicaceae.